Non-coding RNA from Bos taurus (domestic cattle), 72 nucleotides. The record is from Rfam. NCBI's taxonomy places the organism in Eukaryota, Metazoa, Chordata, Mammalia, Artiodactyla, Bovidae.
UCCUUGGUAGCUCAGAUGGUAAAGCAUCUGCCUGCAAUGCAGGAGACCCGGGUUCAAUCCCUGUGUUGGGAA